AGAAGAUGUUGAAGAGUGGUACAGUUAUGCCUAUGCCAGAUAUAAAGGAUAAGAUGCCUAAAAGGUCUUUUUUGCCCCGGGUGAUUGCUGCCAAAUUACCAUUUUCUACCUCUAAGAUUGGCGAAAUGAAGAAAAUCUUUCAUGCUGCCGAUGACUCUCCGAUAGCAAAGAUGAUCGGCGAUGCUUUGACGGAGUGCAAGAUUGGCGAAAUGAAGAAAAUCUUUCACGCUGCCGAUGACUCUCCGAUAGCAAAGAUGAUCGGCGAUGCUUUGACGGAGUGUGAAAGAGCACCGAGUGCCGGCGAGACCAAACGGUGUAUUAAC
RNAcentral lists this long non-coding RNA (323 nucleotides) under Nicotiana benthamiana. RNAcentral describes it as "long non-coding RNA (NBEN_LNC013045)". The record is from RNAcentral. Lineage: Eukaryota; Viridiplantae; Streptophyta; Magnoliopsida; Solanales; Solanaceae.